GCUGAAGUAUCAGCUAUUUUUAACAUAAAACCCAUAAAGCAAAUUUAGAUGAUUGCUGUAGAUAAUCAAAGCAUUCAUAACUUAAGUAAAGGUGAUUAAACUUUAAUGACAUAAUCAAAAGGCAAGUACUGUGAAGGAAAUAAUUAUUAAUAAUUUAUAAGUAGAGAUAUAUAUUCGUACCUUUUGUAUCAUGGCUUAGCUAGAUUUACUACCUAAAUAGGUUACCUAGAAAAUCAAUGAGCGACCUUAUUUUUUCUUUAUAGAGGAAAAGAAGUAGGUGUGGCAAAACCUUUUUAAAAAUUUAAGGUAGAAAUGAGAUUUUAUCCGCAUUGAUUGAUAGCUAGUUUUUCUUUAAAGGCAUAGAAGUGCUUUCGAUCUAGAUAAAUAGAUAUUAGAGGGGUAUAACUGAUCUAUUACAGGGUUGAAUUAUUUUUUUGAGGAUUAGCUCGAAAAAUAAGUAAAAAUGAAUUACAUUGAAUCUUAGUUUAAAUUUAGGCUUGAAAGUAGCCUUUAUUUUGAGUUUGUUAUAAACCAUUGAAAUUAGUUAAGGGACAAUUGGUCUGUGAAAAUUUUAAAGAAAAGAUCUCAAUAAUAGAAAUAUGAGAUAUUUAAAUGCUAAGAUGAGUAUUAAAAGAUAAAAUUAGAUGUUAAGGAUGUGUAAAAAUUAAUAAAAUAGUAAAUAUAUAGGAAUUAAAUCUAUGAAAGGAACUCGGCAAACUAAUCUGCUCCGCCUGUUUAUCAAAAACAUGGCUCUAUGAAAUAUACAAAUAUAGAGUCGGACCUGCCCAGUGAAAAUUUUCAACGGCCGCGGUACUCUGACCGUGCAAAGGUAGCAUAAUCAUUUGCCCUAUAAUUGAGGGCUAGUAUGAAUGGUUUGACGUGAGCAGAGCUGUCUCUUGUAGAAUAAUUAGAAUUUAACUUACAGGUGAAGAUGCCUGUAUGCCAUUGAUAGACAAGAAGACCCUAUCGAGCUUGAAAGAAAUAUUUAGGACAUAAUUGACUUAUAUUUCAGUACACUUAGGCUAAAUAAAAUUUUGGUUGGGGCGACUGAGGAACAAAAGAAGCUUCCUUUAUCUUAAGUACAAGCUAUCUUGCAAUGAUCCAGAAGAAUUACUGAUCAAAGAAAUUAGUUACCGUAGGGAUAACAGCAUAAUCUUUUUUGAGAGCUCAUAUCGAAAAAAAGGUUUGUGACCUCGAUGUUGGACUAGAGUUUCCUGAAGAUGUAGAAGUCUUUAAGGGUUGGUCUGUUCGACCAUUAAAACUCUACAUGAUCUGAGUUCAGACCGGCGUGAGCCAGGUCAGUUUCUAUCUUCAAUUACUUAAAUUUAAGUUUAGUACGAAAGGACCAACUUAAGAAAAUGGUUUUUCAAAUUGAUAAAAUAUAAUAAUAGCAUGAAAGAAUCAAAUUAGCAAAGUUAAUGCGAU
Molecule: ribosomal RNA, 1425 nt
Filed under: Strombus pugilis
Lineage: Eukaryota; Metazoa; Mollusca; Gastropoda; Littorinimorpha; Strombidae
Description: 16S ribosomal RNA
Rfam family: Bacterial large subunit ribosomal RNA (bases 80-1333)
Source: RNAcentral